CUCCUACGGGGGGCAGCAGUGAGGACUUUUGGUGUUUGUUCGGGAGCCUGCACCAGCCAAGCCGCGUGAGGGAUGAAGGUACAGAGUAUCGUAAACCUCUUUUGUCAGGGAACAAAGGCGGGGACGCGUCCCCGGAUGAGUGUACCUGAAGAAAAAGCAUCGGCUAACUCCGUGCCAGCAGCCGCGGUAAUACGGAGGAUGCGAGCGUUAUCCGGAUUUAUUGGGUUUAAAGGGUGCGCAGGCGGUCUGUUAAGUCAGCGGUCAAAGCCCGGGGCUCAACCCCGGGCCGCCGUUGAAACUGGCAG
RNAcentral lists this ribosomal RNA (305 nucleotides) under uncultured bacterium. Its description in RNAcentral is "bacterial SSU rRNA". It matches the Rfam family "Bacterial small subunit ribosomal RNA", at positions 336 to 639 of the family's 1533-position model. The record is from RNAcentral.